AUGGCGUGGUUAAAACCAUCUGGCAUUUAAGAGGUUAAACUCAAUUUGCGUGAGUGCAGCCCCGCCCACUCAUCAGUGGAGAACUGGAAUGUUCCGGUUCUUCCCAGGUUACCAAAAAGAAGUGAGCUACGUAGUUUUCUCAGACAGUGAACAAGUUGGUUCACCAACUUCACCAAACAUUAGAAGAGUAUGUAGAGAGCGAGACAUCGGUUGUGAUUGCCGAGCUUUUUCUUUUCUGCUACUAGUCACGCGCGAGGCCCGGAGCAACCGCGUGUGCACAUUUUGACCAGAGGUCAGGUUCUUUAGAGGGAAUCAAAACUUCUUGGAACUGCAUUUGAAUAUCGUUGGAUGUCGAUGGCGAGCCACCCAUUAAGGAAUUGAACUGACCCUAGUGUUGACAACUCCUGUUCAAUUAACUACCGGAUUUGUGGGUAACCAACAAACAAGUUGGUGAAUCUAAAGAUUUGCCCAAGUUUGGCCACAUCCAAAGACAAACCAACCAGGUUACCACAGCCAAUCCGAAGCAAGCACGUGCUACAUAAAGUUGAAGUGCCUCUCAGAUUAGAAAUUUCAUUAGUGGUAAUGGUGUUGCAUUGUUAUCAGUAUAUGACAAUAAAAUG
Paramormyrops kingsleyae is the source of this 620-nucleotide non-coding RNA. The record is from RefSeq and is a predicted model, not a curated record. NCBI's taxonomy places the organism in Eukaryota, Metazoa, Chordata, Actinopteri, Osteoglossiformes, Mormyridae.